GGAUGCGAGGGCAAUCUGGUUGUGACGUCUGUCAUCUCACUGGUCACCAGGGUUGACCUGGCUGGCUAGGUGGGUGUCCCCUUCCUCCGUCCCUGCACGUUCCUCUAGCUGUGAUCUGGGUUGAAGUGGACAGCCUUCAGAAGGGCUGGUUGGCCUUCAGUCAAGGGUAUAGGAGCAGCUGUGCGCUUGCCUGCUAGGACCUCUAACCAGCUCCCAAACUGAAUAGAGCAGAAUGUUCAUCCAGCACAGCCCCAGGCCUGUGG
This 263-nucleotide small nuclear RNA is filed under the name Jaculus jaculus (lesser Egyptian jerboa). RNAcentral's name for it is "7SK RNA (ENSJJAG00000002402.1)". It matches the Rfam family "7SK RNA". From Rfam's summary of the family: 7SK was discovered as an abundant small nuclear RNA in the mid-70s but a possible function has only recently been suggested. Two independent studies have found that 7SK RNA binds the CDK9/cyclin T complex (known as elongation factor P-TEFb). Lineage: Eukaryota; Metazoa; Chordata; Mammalia; Rodentia; Dipodidae. The record is from RNAcentral.